Molecule: long non-coding RNA, 349 nt
Organism: Adelges cooleyi (spruce gall adelgid)
Lineage: Eukaryota; Metazoa; Arthropoda; Insecta; Hemiptera; Adelgidae
Exons: 3
Source: RefSeq, a predicted model, not a curated record
GUCGAAUCAUAAUUAGUUCAAACUGAAUACGGCAUUCAUCUGCAAUAAUACGUUAAUCAUAGAAAAGCAGGAAAAUGAAAUUCAUUAAUAUUGCAUUAGGUGUGAUAUAUAUUGCUGUAUGCAUCCUUGCAUUAGGUAGUAGCAACACAGAAGCAGCUAAAGUUUCUUCUCGUGGAAAUACUAUGCCAAUUGGCUAAAGUUAAUUGAGCUACCACCAUGUGUGUGUACAAAUGGAUCCGUGAAUUAUGGUUUCAAAAUUAAUAAAAGAAACAAAUUUCAAUUAAUAAUAAAAAUGUAUUAUUCAUUUCUGUAAAACUAUAACACAAUAAAUUAUUUAAAAUUAAUAUAA